Molecule: long non-coding RNA, 800 nt
Organism: Salvia splendens (bonfire salvia)
Lineage: Eukaryota; Viridiplantae; Streptophyta; Magnoliopsida; Lamiales; Lamiaceae
Exons: 4
Source: RefSeq, a predicted model, not a curated record
UGGCCCCGUCAAAUUUUUCUCACAUUUUCACAUGUACUAUAGUUUAUUUUUUCAUAAUUAUUUUUUUAUCAACACAAACCAAACAAGCUUCUUGUACAUGUUUCGAAUCCAUAAUUGGAUUCGGUGAUUCAAUAGCUGAUACAGGCAACCUGCAGCACCUGCAUCAAUCGGACCCUCCCCUCUCUUUUCAGGUGCCGCCGUACGGUGAAACAUUCUUCCAUCGUCCCACCGGUAGAUGCUCCGACGGCCACCUCAUUACCGACUUCAUUGGGUCUUCUUGGUGAUCCAGUAGUAUCCGGUCAAGGAGUGCUAGGAUUACUUCAACGAAGGUGAAAGUUUGACUGAGCUCUCUUGUAAGAGAACAAAGAGGUCUCGGUAAUUAGUGAAUCUGGACUUAUCUGAUCCCUACAGUGGUAUCAGAGCCACGGGGGGACUAGUCCGGCACGCCGAGUCGCAUUAAGGAGGUGGGCAAGUGGAAUCCUCAUUCAAGUGGGAGUUCGCUCUGGUGGCUUUAUAAGUUGAAAAGUGAGGUGGAGGGUCUUAGGUACAAGACCAGACUUGUGGCAAAAGGUUUUACUCAACAAGAGGGGUUGAAACAAAUGGAUGUUAAAACAGCUUUCUUGCAUGGUGACUUGGAUAAACCAAUUUACAUGAAACAGCCUGAAGGCUUUGUAGAUCCUAAGUUUCCCAAUCAUGUGUGUUUGUUGAAAAAGGCCUUGUAUAGUUUAAAACAGUCUCCUAGACAGUGGAAUAUCAAGUUUAAUAAUUGUAUCCAUAAGUUGGGCUUUGUGAGAAGUACU